GUUUUCUUAUAUAAAUUAAAAAUGAUUUUUUUCAAGCAUAGUUUAAUAACGUUUACAAUUCUAGUAAAUUUAAUUUGGAUUAUGCCAGCUACUUCAGAAGAUAAAAUAGAAAUUUUAAAAGAGUCUUGUGAAGGUAUUCUUAAAGUUUAUGGAUUUGAAGGUA
Molecule: long non-coding RNA, 163 nt
Organism: Metopolophium dirhodum (rose-grain aphid)
Lineage: Eukaryota; Metazoa; Arthropoda; Insecta; Hemiptera; Aphididae
Exons: 3
Source: RefSeq, a predicted model, not a curated record